UACGGAGGGGGCGAGCGUUGUUCGGAAUUACUGGGCGUAAAGCGCACGUAGGCGGCUUUGUAAGUUAGAGGUGAAAGUCCGGGGCUCAACCCCGGAAUUGCCUUUAAGACUGCAUCGCUAGAAUUGGGGAGAGGUGAGUGGAAUUCCGAGUGUAGAGGUGAAAUUCGUAGAUAUUCGGAAGAACACCAGUGGCGAAGGCGACUCACUGGACACAUAUUGACGCUGAGGUGCGAAAGCGUGGGGAGCAAACAGG
RNAcentral lists this ribosomal RNA (253 nucleotides) under uncultured bacterium. RNAcentral describes it as "partial 16S ribosomal RNA". It matches the Rfam family "Bacterial small subunit ribosomal RNA", at positions 524 to 776 of the family's 1533-position model. The record is from RNAcentral.